UCCCUGGUGGCUCAGACAGCAAAGCAUCUGUCUACGAUGCAGGAGACCCAGGUUCGAUCCCUGGGUUGGGAA
This 72-nucleotide transfer RNA is filed under the name Ovis aries (sheep). It matches the Rfam family "tRNA". Rfam says of the family: Transfer RNA (tRNA) molecules are approximately 80 nucleotides in length. Lineage: Eukaryota; Metazoa; Chordata; Mammalia; Artiodactyla; Bovidae. The record is from Rfam by way of RNAcentral.